RNAcentral lists this ribosomal RNA (261 nucleotides) under uncultured bacterium. Its description in RNAcentral is "partial 16S ribosomal RNA". The record is from RNAcentral.
CUGCUGCCUUCCGUAGGAGUCUGGUCCGUGUCUCAGUACCAGUGUGGGGGACCUUCCUCUCAGAACCCCUACGCAUCGUCGUCUUGGUGGUCCGUUACACCGCCAACUAACUAAUGCGACGCAUGCCCGUCCGCCACCGGAAUUAACCUUUGGCACCAACAGGAUGUCCCGUCGAUGCAUUAUGCCGUAUUAGACGGAAUUUCUCCCGAUUAUCCGGCUGUGGCAGGCAGGUUGCAUACGUGUUACUCACCCGUGCGCCGG